AGCAGCGUAGCUCAGAGGAAGAGUGUAGGGCCCAUAACCCUAAUGUCGUACGAUCGAAACGUACCGCUGCUA
This is a transfer RNA of 72 nucleotides. It matches the Rfam family "tRNA". Rfam says of the family: Transfer RNA (tRNA) molecules are approximately 80 nucleotides in length. Their secondary structure includes four short double-helical elements and three loops (D, anti-codon, and T loops). The record is from Rfam.